CGAGUAGAUUUCCAGGAAGAACAUGGAGAACAGAGACAAGGUGAUUCAGAAAUAGUGAAGGCAAUGCAACCUCAUCCAAAUUUGGAAUCUCUUUUCAUUUUUCACUGCCAUAUUGUCACCACCGAGUCUCUGUAUUGGAUCAACUCUUUACACAAUUUGAGACAAGUUAAUCUCUCUAACUGGGGAUUUUGUGAAGUUUUGCCUCCUCUUGGAAAAUUGCCAUCGCUUGAAUUUCUGGUAAGAGGAGAAGACGAAGUCUCUGAAACAGAAAUUCUAUUCCCCAAAUUGAAGCGACUCUCUUUUGUGGGGAUGAACAACUGGGAAGAGUGGGAAGGAAUUACAAAGACGGAUUCUUCUGAAAUCAGAAUCAUGCCACGCCUUUCUGAGUUGAAACUUGUGGGGUGCCCAAAGGUCAAAGCACUGCCGGACUUCGUCUACAAGAUAACAGCACUGCAAACUCUGAAGAUCAAGGAUUGUGAUAUUCUGGAAAGAGAAUACGAGGAAGACGUGGGGAAGGAGUGGCACAACAUUUCUGGCAUCCCAAACCUCACAAUUGGUAGAUCCUGAUCAAGUUUGAUGACUGGGUUACAACCAAUUACAAAUCUUCAUGGCUGUGAACAGAUCAUUUUUCCUUUGACGUGGUCGUGCCGCUUCUCUUUUCUUGGUGUGCUUCUGAGUGACGGGCUUCCAUGUCCACACUGCAUUCAGGUGAAGAAAUUAUAUUUGAAGAUGCAAAAUCAGUUCAAGGUAAUGAUGGUUAAACAGAUGGAGCUUCAUGAUUCUGUAGGCGUAGCAUCUCCAUGAAUGUGUUGCAGCUUUGGAGCUGCAUGAUUCUGUUGAAUUGGUUGAAGUCUCUCGUGGAAUUGAAACUGAUUGGAAUUAGAGAAACUAUUCUUGACUUUGGUAGUGAUGAAGAUUUUUGUUUUCAAAAUUUGUACUGCAAUGCUACUGAUGGAGCAGAUGUUAAGUGAGCGCAGGAGUUAUAAUAACCAGGGGCCAAGUGCAGUAAUUAAAAGGAUUGGAAUAGUCCGACGGAACAAGAAAGGUUUCUUGAAAUCACAACAAUGCAACAACUUUCGUACUGUGAAUUGAGAUGUUCCCAAAGCUGAAAGCGCUGCCAGACUUCCUGCACAAGAUAAUGAGACUGUGUACUUUGGAGAUUAAGAGUGGUCAGUUCUGGAACGAGAGUACAAAGAACGCUUGGGAAACAACCAAAGUAGUGGCACAACAGUUCUCACAUCACAAACGUCCAAUUGGAUGACUUUGCGAUAUCUUGGGGUAGAAAUGUGUAAUGCUAAGCUUUUCACGAUAUUACUAACCUGUAAGUCCCUCAUGUAAUAUUCUGAUCCUGCUGGAAACUAUUUUGGAUCUUAAAUGGUUGAUUAAUUCAUGGAACAGUUUGUCUGGAUAUUUAUGUCAAUAUCAA
This is a long non-coding RNA of Argentina anserina (silverweed cinquefoil), 1426 nucleotides long. RefSeq lists it as uncharacterized. The transcript is spliced from 5 exons. Lineage: Eukaryota; Viridiplantae; Streptophyta; Magnoliopsida; Rosales; Rosaceae. The record is from RefSeq and is a predicted model, not a curated record.